GUGAAACAGGAUUAACUGGAAUACCUCUAUUUGUAUGUCUUGCUAACAGUCUCAGUGUAUGUUCUCAAUUUCAUUAAGACCAAACCUUAUGAAGUUCUUACUAAGUUCAGGUUAUUGAAGUGUAGAUUCAUGUGCAUUUGCAGUAUAAUCUAAGCUGAUUCAUGCCAUGCUUUCUUUUACUUAUUUGUUAAAUUUGUAGUUUGG
This 204-nucleotide unclassified non-coding RNA is filed under the name Hevea brasiliensis (rubber tree). The record is from RNAcentral. Lineage: Eukaryota; Viridiplantae; Streptophyta; Magnoliopsida; Malpighiales; Euphorbiaceae.